Molecule: ribosomal RNA, 1341 nt
Filed under: Schroedera plumatellae
Lineage: Eukaryota; Fungi; Microsporidia; Mrazekiidae
Description: SSU rRNA
Rfam family: Microsporidia small subunit ribosomal RNA
Source: RNAcentral
CACCAGGUUGAUUCUGCCUGAUGUAUGCGCUUGUCUUGAAGAUUUAGCCAUGCAAGCUAGUGACCGUAAGUAAACAGCAGACAGCUCAGUAAUGACACCAAUUAUUUACUCGUAAUAUAUGGAUAACCAUGGAAAACUAUGGCUAAUACAAAAUACGAUUAAGUUUGUGACCUAUUAGCUAGAUGGUAAGGUAAGGGCUUACCAUGGCGAUGAUGGGUAACGGGGAAUUUUAGUUUGAUUCCGGAGAGGGAGCCUGAGAAAUAGCUCCCACGUCUAAGGAUGGCAGCAGGCGCGAAACUUACCCAAUUCCCUAUGGGGAGAGGUAGUGAAGAGACAUUUUUAUAUUAAUUGAAAGGGAAACUAAAGGGGAUCCAGUAAACUGGAGGGCAAGCCUGGUGCCAGCAGCCGCGGUAAUUCCAGCUCCAGUAGCGCAUAUAAUGAUUGUUGCUGUUAAAAGGUCCGUCGUAAACUAAGAUGGUACUAUGAGGAAAAUGUAUAUCUCAAAUGAAAAUAUAUAGCAUAGGACACAGUAGUGAUAGGAACAGAUGAUGGCAACAGUAUUUAAUAGUUAGAGGUGAAAAUCUAAGACCUAUUAAGGACUUUCAGAAGCGAAAGCGGUUGUCAAGUAUGUCUCCGUUUAUCAAGGACUCAAGCUAGAGUAUCGAAGAUGAUUAGAUACCGUCGUAGUUCUAGCUGUAAACGAUGCCAACUAGGUGAGGUAUUAAGCUACGCCUUAGGAGAAAUCAAAGUGUAUGGGCUCAGGGGAUAGUAUGCGCGCAAGGGUGAAACUUGAAGAAAUUGACGGAAGGAUACCANCAAGGAGUGGAUUGUGCGGCUUAAUUUGACUCAACGCGGGACAACUUACCAGGGCCGAAUGUUUUAGAGAUUGGUGAUUUGAGAGAAUAUCCAUGAUUAGACAGAGGGUGGUGCAUGGCCGUUUUCAACACGUGGGGUGACCUGUCAGGUUAAUUCCGAUAACGCGUGAGGCCCAUAUUUUUAUGAAGUGUAAAAAGACGGACAGUGUAAGCUGUAGGAAGUUGGGCGAUAACAGGUCAGUGAUGCCCCUAGAUGUUCUGGGCUGCACGCGCAAUACAAUAUAUGAUCUAAAAGAUUAGAGGUAACUUUUUUAGUAAUAUCAUGUAUACCCGGGAUAAGCGCUUGUAAAUGCGUUUUGAACUUGGAAUUCCUAGUAAUCGCAGGUCAUUAUGCUGCGAUGAAUGUGUCCCUGUUCUUUGUACACACCCGCCCGUCACUAUCUUAGAUGAAUUUAUAGGUGAAAUGGCUGGACUUUGGAAAGGCAGUUGAACCUGUGGAAUUAGAUAAGAUAUAAGUCGUAACAAG